GACGAACGCUGGCGGCGUGCUUAACACAUGCAAGUCGAACGGAAAGGCCUUGUUUUUGUGCGGUGCUCGAGUGGCGAACGGGUGAGUAACACGUGAGUAACCUGCCCUUGACUUCGGGAUAACUUCAGGAAACACGGGUUAAUACCGGACAGGAGCUCUUGCUGCACGGUGUGGGUGGGAAAGUUUUGCCGGUUGGGGAUGGACUGGUGGCUUAUCAGCUUGUUGGUGGGGUAGUGGCUUACCAAGGCACUGAGGGGUAGCCGGACUGCGAGGGUGACCGGCCACAUUGGGACUGAGGUGCGACCCAGGCUCCAACGGGAGGCAGCGGUGGGAAAUAUUGCGCAAUAGGCGGCAGGCUGAUAGAACGGCGCCGCGUGCGGGAUGACGGCCUUCGGGUUGUAAACCGCUUUCGCCUGUGACGAAGCGUGAGUGACGGUAAUGGGUAAAGAAGCACCGGCUAACUACGUG
RNAcentral lists this ribosomal RNA (468 nucleotides) under uncultured bacterium. RNAcentral's name for it is "partial 16S ribosomal RNA". It matches the Rfam family "Bacterial small subunit ribosomal RNA", at positions 28 to 507 of the family's 1533-position model. The record is from RNAcentral.